GGGGGCAUCGCAUAGCGGCAAUUGCGGCGGACUGUAAAUCCGCUCCUUCGGGUUCAGUGGUUCGAGUCCACUUGCCCCCACUA
Molecule: transfer RNA, 83 nt
Filed under: Bacteroidota bacterium
Lineage: Bacteria; Pseudomonadati; Bacteroidota
Description: Bacteroidetes bacterium (freshwater metagenome) tRNA-Tyr
Rfam family: tRNA
About the family: Transfer RNA (tRNA) molecules are approximately 80 nucleotides in length.
Source: RNAcentral